RNAcentral lists this ribosomal RNA (1333 nucleotides) under uncultured bacterium. RNAcentral's name for it is "bacterial SSU rRNA". It matches the Rfam family "Bacterial small subunit ribosomal RNA", at positions 28 to 1381 of the family's 1533-position model. The record is from RNAcentral.
GACGAACGCUGGCGGUGCGCCUAACACAUGCAAGUCGAACGAGCGAGAGAGAGCUUGCUUUCUCGAGCGAGUGGCGAACGGGUGAGUAACGCGUGAGGAACCUGCCUCAAAGAGGGGGACAACAGUUGGAAACGACUGCUAAUACCGCAUAAGCCCACGGGUCGGCAUCGACCAGAGGGAAAAGGAGCAAUCCGCUUUGAGAUGGCCUCGCGUCCGAUUAGCUAGUUGGUGAGGUAACGGCCCACCAAGGCAACGAUCGGUAGCCGGACUGAGAGGUUGAACGGCCACAUUGGGACUGAGACACGGCCCAGACUCCUACGGGAGGCAGCAGUGGGGAAUAUUGCACAAUGGGGGAAACCCUGAUGCAGCGACGCCGCGUGGAGGAAGAAGGUCUUCGGAUUGUAAACUCCUGUUGUUGAGGAAGAUAAUGACGGUACUCAACAAGGAAGUGACGGCUAACUACGUGCCAGCAGCCGCGGUAAAACGUAGGUCACAAGCGUUGUCCGGAAUUACUGGGUGUAAAGGGAGCGCAGGCGGGAAGACAAGUUGGAAGUGAAAUCCAUGGGCUCAACCCAUGAACUGCUUUCAAAACUGUUUUUCUUGAGUAGUGCAGAGGUAGGCGGAAUUCCCGGUGUAGCGGUGGAAUGCGUAGAUAUCGGGAGGAACACCAGUGGCGAAGGCGGCCUACUGGGCACCAACUGACGCUGAGGCUCGAAAGUGUGGGUAGCAAACAGGAUUAGAUACCCUGGUAGUCCACACCGUAAACGAUGAUUACUAGGUGUUGGAGGAUUGACCCCUUCAGUGCCGCAGUUAACACAAUAAGUAAUCCACCUGGGGAGUACGACCGCAAGGUUGAAACUCAAAGGAAUUGACGGGGGCCCGCACAAGCAGUGGAGUAUGUGGUUUAAUUCGACGCAACGCGAAGAACCUUACCAAGUCUUGACAUCCUGCGACGAUGCUGGAAACAGUAUUUUCCUUCGGGACGCAGAGACAGGUGGUGCAUGGUUGUCGUCAGCUCGUGUCGUGAGAUGUUGGGUUAAGUCCCGCAACGAGCGCAACCCUUAUGGUCAGUUACUACGCAAGAGGACUCUGGCCAGACUGCCGUUGACAAAACGGAGGAAGGUGGGGAUGACGUCAAAUCAUCAUGCCCUUUAUGACUUGGGCUACACACGUACUACAAUGGCGUUAAACAAAGAGAAGCAAGACCGCGAGGUGGAGCAAAACUCAGAAACAACGUCCCAGUUCGGACUGCAGGCUGCAAACUCGCCUGCACGAAGUCGGAAUUGCUAGUAAUCGUGGAUCAGCAUGCCACGGUGAAUACGUUCCCGGGCCU